Molecule: ribosomal RNA, 2176 nt
Filed under: Gemmatimonadota bacterium
Lineage: Bacteria; Pseudomonadati; Gemmatimonadota
Description: Gemmatimonadetes bacterium partial 23S ribosomal RNA
Rfam family: Bacterial large subunit ribosomal RNA
Source: RNAcentral
GGAUCAAGUAGAAAGGGCGCAAGGUGGAUGCCUUGGCACAGGCCGGCGAUGAAGGACGUGGCAAGCUGCGAUAAGCCGGGGGGAGCUGCACGCAAGCGUUGAUCCCUGGAUUUCCGAAUGGGGAAACCCGGCCGGGGUAAUGCCCGGUCAUCCCCGGGGUGAAUACAUAGCCCUGGGGAGGCGAACCGAGGGAACUGAAACAUCUAAGUACCUCGAGGAAGAGAAAACAACCGUGAUUCCCUAAGUAGCGGCGAGCGAACGGGGAAGAGCCCAAACCGUGCGGGUGCAGAAGGCGGCAGCCGUUGCCCGUACGGGGUUGUAGGGGCGGCUCGGGAAGAUCUGCCGGUCUUCCGGGUCUGAUCGAUCGUGUGAGCCGAAGUCGGCUGGAAUGCCGCGCCGCAGGAGGUGAAAGCCCUGUAGGCGAAGCGCGACGAGAGGCCUGGAGCCGUUUCCUGAGUAGGCCGGGACACGAGGAAUCCCGGUCGAAGCUGGCAGGACCAUCUGCCAAGGCUAAAUACGAGCCUGUGACCGAUAGUGAACUAGUACCGUGAGGGAAAGGUGAAAAGUACGCCGGGAGGCGGGUGAAAUAGAUCCUGAAACCUUGUGCCUACAAGCAGUGGGAGGAGCGCGCGUGCCCUCGGGUGCGACGCGACUCUGACCGCGUGCCUUUUGCAUUAUGAUCCGGCGAGUUCGUCCUCGUGGGCGAGGUUAAGCCGUUCAGCGGCGAAGCCUUAGCGAAAGCGAGUCUUAACUGGGCGUGGGCCCCUUCGGGGGCCGUUCAGUCCGCGGGGCGAGACCCGAAACCAGAGUGAUCUAUCCAUGGCCAGGCUGAAGCGAGGGUAAUGCCUCGUGGAGGGCCGAACCGGUGUGGGUUGAAAACUGCUCGGAUGAGCUGUGGAUAGGGGUGAAAGGCCAAUCAAACCUGGAGAUAGCUGGUUCUCCCCGAAAGAUAUUUAGGUAUCGCCUCUGAGUGUAGACUGCGGGAGGUAGAGCACUGGAUGGGCCCGGGCCCUUACCGGGGUACUAAUCCCAACCAAACUCCGAAUGCCCGUUAGUUGGUCUCAGGGAGGCAGGGCGUGGGCGAUAAUGUCCAUGCGCGAGAGGGAAAGAACCCAGACCCUCAGCUAAGGUCCCCAAGUGCUGGCUAAGUGAGAAAGGAUGUGGAUUUGCGCGGACAACUGGGAGGUUGGCUUAGAGGCAGCCAUCCUUGAAAGAGUGCGUAAUAGCUCACCAGUCAAGCGGAUCUGCGCCGAUAAUUGCCGGGACUCAAGUCAGCCACCGAAGCUAGGGCUGCGAACCUCCUGAGGGCGGUUCGUGGGGUAGGGGAGCGUUGUCUGGGCAUCGAAGCGGGGCCGUGAGGCCUGGAGGUCUAAUCCCCUCCUUAGCCCGUGGAGCGCAGACAAGUGAGAAUGCCGGAAUGAGUAGCGAGAAACGGGGUGAGAACCCCCGUCGCCGAAAGCCCAAGGUUUCCUGAGCCAUGCCGAUCAGCUCAGGGUUAGUCGGCUCCUAAGGUGAGGCCGAGAGGCGUAGCCGAUGGGAAACGGGUCAAUAUUCCCGUACCGCGAGUAGCUCGCUUGAACGUGAGGAGGGACGCAGAGGUGAAAGGUCCGUCGGGCUUGGAUUGCUCGAUGUAAGGAGGUAGGCGUUUCUGGAUAGGCAAAUCCGUCCGGAUAGCCGAGAUCCGAUACCGAAGGGGGCUUCGGCUCCCGUCAAGGGACCGUAAUCGUACUGCCGAGAAAAGCUUCGCACGUGAGAGUUGCACGCGACCGUACCGCAAACCGACACAGGUGGGCGAGGCGAGAAGCCUCAGGCGCUCGAGUGAGUCUUGGUCAAGGAACUCGGCAAAAUGUCCCCGUAACUUCGGGAGAAGGGGAGCCCGCGGUAGGUGAACCCUCUAGCAGGGGGAGCCGAAACGGGCCGCAGAGAAUCGGCCCAAGCGACUGUUUAUUAAAAACACAGUUGUCUGCGAUGUCGUCAAGACGACGUAUAGGCACUGACGCCUGCCCGGUGCCGGAAGGUUAAAUUGAGGGGUUAGGAUUCGUCCGAAGCUCUGAAAUGAAGCCCCGGUAAACGGCGGCCGUAACUAUAACGGUCCUAAGGUAGCGAAAUUCCUUGUCGGGUAAGUUCCGACCUGCACGAAUGGCGUAACGAGUUGACUGCUGUCUCCUCCGUAAGC